This 429-nucleotide ribosomal RNA is filed under the name Bacteroidota bacterium. RNAcentral describes it as "Bacteroidetes bacterium partial 16S ribosomal RNA". It matches the Rfam family "Bacterial small subunit ribosomal RNA", at positions 355 to 776 of the family's 1533-position model. Lineage: Bacteria; Pseudomonadati; Bacteroidota. The record is from RNAcentral.
UAGGGAACCUUCGGCAAUGGGGGGAACCCUGACCGAGCAACGCCGCGUGAGUGAAGAAGGUUUUCGGAUCGUAAAGCUCUGUUGUUAAGGAAGAACGAGUGUGAGAAUGGAAAGUUCAUGCUGUGACGGUACUUAACCAGAAAGGGACGGCUAACUACGUGCCAGCAGCCGCGGUAAUACGUAGGUCCCGAGCGUUGUCCGGAUUUAUUGGGCGUAAAGCGAGCGCAGGCGGUUAGAAAAGUCUGAAGUGAAAGGCAGUGGCUCAACCAUUGUAGGCUUUGGAAACUGUUUAACUUGAGUGCAGAAGGGGAGAGUGGAAUUCCAUGUGUAGCGGUGAAAUGCGUAGAUAUAUGGAGGAACACCGGUGGCGAAAGCGGCUCUCUGGUCUGUAACUGACGCUGAGGCUCGAAAGCGUGGGGAGCGAACAGG